Molecule: long non-coding RNA, 539 nt
Filed under: Theobroma cacao (cacao)
Lineage: Eukaryota; Viridiplantae; Streptophyta; Magnoliopsida; Malvales; Malvaceae
Description: long non-coding RNA (TCAC_LNC006208)
Source: RNAcentral
CUACAUAUAUGUGAUACCAAAAAAAAAAUCUAUAAUUUUCAAAUUUGAAAAUGCUGAAAAUUAAAAACAUAACAAUAUCAAUGCCUUUAAUGAUAACAUUCUCAUGGUCAAGCUUUUUUUUUCCCUUUCUUGGUUCUAGUCGUAACACCUUGUUGUGUUGAGAUUGGUGUGGAUGCCACAUUUACUUCCUCAUGUUUUUUAUCAAUCUUUUUCUUUCUUUGUGCCUGAAAAGAAAAAUGGUCAUGAUAUGUGAGAUUCAAAAUAGUAAUUACAAUAUUAUAGAAAUAAGCAAAAAUAAUCCUAAUUGUUAUCAUAAAUUGAUUUGUAGUAAUGCAUGAAUUAAACCUUAUGACUUUUCUCCCAAUAAUCAUUUCACCAAGUCUUUUAGGCUUUUUCAAUUAAAAAAAUAGUUUUUUAGUCAAUAUAUAAUAUUGAAAAAAUAAAAUAAAUAAAGUAAUCAUUUACUUACAUUAAGUAUAGAUAUUCCAAUCUCAGGGGUCUUGGUAUAAACCAAUCCCUUCUUGAUGUGGCCAUGCUUU